This 278-nucleotide ribosomal RNA is filed under the name uncultured bacterium. RNAcentral's name for it is "partial 16S ribosomal RNA". It matches the Rfam family "Bacterial small subunit ribosomal RNA", at positions 506 to 784 of the family's 1533-position model. The record is from RNAcentral.
UGCCAGCAGCCGCGGUAAUACGUAGGGGGCGAGCGUUGUCCGGAUCUAUUGGGCGUAAAGGGUGCGUAGGUGGCACGCUAAGUCCGAAGUAAAAGGCAAUAGCUCAACUAUUGUAGGCUUUGGAAACUGGCGAGCUAGAGUGCAGAAGAGGGCGAUGGAAUUCCAUGUGUAGCGGUAAAAUGCGUAGAUAUAUGGAGGAACACCAGUGGCGAAGGCGGUCGCCUGGUCUGUAACUGACACUGAGGCACGAAAGCGUGGGGAGCAAAUAGGAUUAGAUA